UACGGAGGAUCCAAGCGUUAUCCGGAUUUAUUGGGUUUAAAGGGUGCGUAGGCGGCUUUUUAAGUCAGGGGUGAAAGACGGUGGCUCAACCAUCGCAGUGCCUUUUGAUACUGAAAAGCUUGAAUAGACCUGAGGUAGGCGGAAUGUGACAAGUAGCGGUGAAAUGCAUAGAUAUGUCACAGAACACCAAUUGCGAAAGGCAGCUUACUAAAGUCUAAUUGACGCUGAGGCACGAAAAGCGUGGGGAUCAAACAGG
This 256-nucleotide ribosomal RNA is filed under the name uncultured bacterium. RNAcentral's name for it is "partial 16S ribosomal RNA". It matches the Rfam family "Bacterial small subunit ribosomal RNA", at positions 524 to 776 of the family's 1533-position model. The record is from RNAcentral.